RNAcentral lists this ribosomal RNA (468 nucleotides) under uncultured bacterium. RNAcentral's name for it is "partial 16S ribosomal RNA". It matches the Rfam family "Bacterial small subunit ribosomal RNA", at positions 28 to 507 of the family's 1533-position model. The record is from RNAcentral.
GACGAACGCUGGCGGCGUGCUUAACACAUGCAAGUCGAACGGAAAGGCCCUGCUUUUGUGGGGUGCUCGAGUGGCGAACGGGUGAGUAACACGUGAGUAACCUGCCCUUGACUUUGGGAUAACUUCAGGAAACUGGGGCUAAUACCGGAUAGGAGCUCCUGCUGCAUGGUGGGGGUUGGAAAGUUUCGGCGGUUGGGGAUGGACUCGCGGCUUAUCAGCUUGUUGGUUGGGUAGUGGCUUACCAAGGCUUUGACGGGUAGCCGGCCUGAGUGGGUGACCGGCCACAUUGGGACUGAGAUACGGCCCAGACUCCUACGGGAGGCAGCAGUGGGGAAUAUUGCACAAUGGGCGGAAGCCUGAUGCAGCAACGCCGCGUGCGGGAUGACGGCCUUCGGGUUGUAAACCGCUUUCGCCUGUGACGAAGCGUGAGUGACGGUAAUGGGUAAAGAAGCACCGGCUAACUACGUG